Molecule: ribosomal RNA, 462 nt
Filed under: uncultured bacterium
Lineage: Bacteria
Description: partial 16S ribosomal RNA
Rfam family: Bacterial small subunit ribosomal RNA
Source: RNAcentral
CCUACGGGUGGCAGCAGUGAGGAAUAUUGGUCAAUGGGCGAGAGCCUGAACCAGCCAAGUCGCGUGAAGGAUGACGGCCCUACGGGUUGUAAACUUCUUUUGUCAGGGAGCAAUUGAGUCCACGUGUGGGCUUAGCGAGAGUACCUGAAGAAAAAGCAUCGGCUAACUCCGUGCCAGCAGCCGCGGUAAUACGGGGGAUGCAAGCGUUAUCCGGAUUUAUUGGGUUUAAAGGGUGCGUAGGCUGUGAGGUAAGUCAGCGGUGAAAUGCCCCCGCUCAACGGGGUGAAGUGCCAUUGAUACUGCCUUGCUGGAAUGCGGAUGCCGUGGGAGGAAUGUGUGGUGUAGCGGUGAAAUGCAUAGAUAUCACACAGAACACCGAUUGCGAAGGCAUCUCACGAAUCCGCGAUUGACGCUGAUGCACGAAAGCGUGGGUAUCAAACAGGAUUAGAUACCCGGGUAGUC